CCGCAUACGCGCUCUAUCGCUGCCACCUUAGGGUGGGGGAGGAAAGUCCGAGCAACAGAGAGCACCGCGCAAGUUAACGGCUUGAUAUUCGUAAGAGUAUAGCAGUGUAGAAGAAAAUAACCGCCCGCAAGGGUAAGGGUGAGAAGGCGGGGUAAGAGCCCACCGCGAGGGUAGCAAUACUCCUCGGCAGUACGCCUCGUGGGUUGCAAGACCAUGUAUACCGACAAUUAAGGGUUGCUCGUCCAAUGUCGGGGGGUAGGUUGCUAGAGGCGGCAAGUGAUUGUCGUCGUAGAUAAAUGAUAGAGGCCCACUCGUUGGGUACAGAACUCGGCUUAUAGCGUAUACAAAAAA
This 351-nucleotide RNase P RNA is filed under the name Alistipes sp. RNAcentral describes it as "RNase P RNA component class A". It matches the Rfam family "Bacterial RNase P class A". Rfam says of the family: Ribonuclease P (RNase P) is a ubiquitous endoribonuclease, found in archaea, bacteria and eukarya as well as chloroplasts and mitochondria. Its best characterised activity is the generation of mature 5'-ends of tRNAs by cleaving the 5'-leader elements of precursor-tRNAs. Cellular RNase Ps are ribonucleoproteins. The record is from RNAcentral. Lineage: Bacteria; Pseudomonadati; Bacteroidota; Bacteroidia; Bacteroidales; Rikenellaceae.